Molecule: ribosomal RNA, 492 nt
Filed under: uncultured bacterium
Lineage: Bacteria
Description: partial 16S ribosomal RNA
Rfam family: Bacterial small subunit ribosomal RNA
Source: RNAcentral
AGUGAACGCUGGCGGUAGGCCUAACACAUGCAAGUCGAACGGCAGCACAGUAAGAGCUUGCUCUUACGGGUGGCGAGUGGCGGACGGGUGAGGAAUACAUCGGAAUCUACUUUUUCGUGGGGGAUAACGUAGGGAAACUUACGCUAAUACCGCAUACGACCUACGGGUGAAAGCAGGGGAUCUUCGGACCUUGCGCGAUUGAAUGAGCCGAUGUCGGAUUAGCUAGUUGGCGGGGUAAAGGCCCACCAAGGCGACGAUCCGUAGCUGGUCUGAGAGGAUGAUCAGCCAAACUGGAACUGAGAAAAGGUCCAGAAUCCUAAGGGAGGCAGCAGUGGGGAAUAUUGGACAAUGGGCGGAAGCCUGAUCCAGCCAUACCGCGUGGGUGAAGAAGGCCUUCGGGUUGGAAAGCCCUUUUGUUGGGAAAGAAAAGCAGCAGGUUAAUACCCCGCUGUUCCGACGGUACCCAAAGAAUAAGCACCGGCUAACUUCGUG